This 1231-nucleotide long non-coding RNA is filed under the name Sus scrofa (pig). RNAcentral's name for it is "lncRNA (ENSSSCG00005005213.1)". Lineage: Eukaryota; Metazoa; Chordata; Mammalia; Artiodactyla; Suidae. The record is from RNAcentral.
AUGAUUGCUUUCUCAAAUAAACACAAAGGCAUGGUUUUCUUGCUUAAUAGGAAGCACGGGUCUCUGACCUUAAUUCUCCUUGAAAAUCCAUUUGCUGUCCAGAGCAAGAAUCCUGAAACACAAAUGACCCGCUCACCCAGUUCAGCUUUUUUUAACCGCUCACCCAGUUCAGCAUUUCAGCUGCUGAGGCAGUAUCACUUUGCAGUCUGGGCAGGAUGAAGUUCGACUGGGCGCACUGGGCUCAGUCCCAAGAGGAGCAAACCACAGCCAAGCUUCUUUGUUUCUGAAGCAUGUUGGAGAAAGGUAGGGUUGCUCUGCCCAGGAAGUAGAUUUUUACAUUUUACAAAGGACGAAGGAAAACUGCAAUAAGAAGAACCAUUCAUGAUCCCCCAGGAUCAUGCCCAACAGCCUCACGAAGUGUGGAAAUAGCCUGGCUAAGUAAGAGAGAGAUAAAUCAAAUCCUGUAGUUUUCUGUCAGCCGCUUUAAUUGUUUCUUUCCAUGCUGUCAUCCUUUGCUUUUCCUGCAGUAUUCUGCUAAACCAUUCCAUGGGCUGAUUGAGUGUAUGCAUGUGAAGCUUUGUAUAGAAUAAAUAAUUACACAAGACAUUUCUGAAAGCAUAAAUGCAUUUGGCCUAACAAAACUAAUUCACAUCUUAAAAAGCCAGCUUCUCCAAAUGUCAGUUAUGUGAGCUAACUAUUUCUCCAGCAACCUAGCAAUUUAAUUCUUUACCCUUAUCUCCUUGGCCAUACUACACACAAAUGGUUUUCAGAAUAGGAAAGAAAAAAAAAGACCUUCCGGUGUCUGUUUUAAGCUUGUUUUUAUCUACUUUAUGUCUCUAACUUUGUCCUUAUAUUUGUUUCACAGCAAAAACAAAAUAGAGAAAAGAUAUCAACCAUGUCCCCAAAGGUUUAUAUAUCUGUAAGUUCCCUUUCGCUAUUCUGUUUUAUAGCAUAGAUCUUGUCCACAGACUAUAAACAUCUACUUCCCUCACUUCUUCAAAUGUCUUUUUGAGGCUGAUGAAGGAAGGGAUUGCUAGUCAAAUGUGAGUGUCUCUCCAGGAUGGUCCUAAUAGCCGCUAUUUCUGCUGCAAGGAAUCUAUAAUUGCCUGAUUGCUUGAUCUUCUUCAAAAGAAGAAACUGAAAUCAUGCUGGAACUAGAAAGAGCCAAGAUGAGUUGUGUUUCUAAGCCCCUGGCCCUGACUCCAUCCAAUAGCUGUCACCUGACAAAUCC